This 199-nucleotide long non-coding RNA is filed under the name Citrus sinensis (sweet orange). RNAcentral's name for it is "long non-coding RNA (CSIN_LNC000810)". Lineage: Eukaryota; Viridiplantae; Streptophyta; Magnoliopsida; Sapindales; Rutaceae. The record is from RNAcentral.
UGAAAAAUAAAUUAUAAAACAUGGAUAUUUUUGACAUUAGUAAGUAAUUGACUUAAUUCAAAUUUCUCCAUUAAGUAAAAAGCUAAAAAAAUUGACUUAUUUUAUUAAGUCAAAAUUAUCUAAAAAGUCUCAUUAAGUUAUAAAAACAAACACCUCUAAUUAACUUAAUUAAUUAAGUUAAGUCACUUUAAGUCAUUAA